AAGAUUACAAGGGGAGAGUUUACAACGAAUAGUAACGCCGAAGGAGCAAGUGAAGAGCGAAUCUCUCAGGCCAAAAAGACUCUUGUAUGACG
This 92-nucleotide non-coding RNA is filed under the name Oceanobacillus iheyensis. RNAcentral describes it as "Glycine sequence". It matches the Rfam family "Glycine riboswitch aptamer". Rfam says of the family: This family represents the bacterial glycine riboswitch. RNAcentral also lists the same sequence under 1 other name. The record is from RNAcentral. Lineage: Bacteria; Bacillati; Bacillota; Bacilli; Caryophanales; Bacillaceae.